AUGAGUCCUUCCGGCUGGGACAUCCGGGGAGGGCGGCAACAGUCGCGAGAGACGGUCAUGUGGUUGUGGUGGUGGCGGGAGACGGUCUUGCGGCGGAGACAGCGACCUGCUCGUGCACUAGCGAGCCCGGUGUCCACUCUGUCGACAUAUCAGACAUUUGUAGGGAUCACAACAGUCAACUUUGCAGUGUCCCCGCUCCAGGCAGCGAUGGCAGGUCCUACGGUGGUGCCAGACGAAACUUCUGCCCGGUGGAGUGGAAAACGAAGGCGAGGACCGUCGUUGUGGAAGGCGCCGGCUGGGAGACAGAGCUCUCCACCAGUACGGAGCUUGAACUAG
Molecule: ribosomal RNA, 336 nt
Filed under: Triticum aestivum (bread wheat)
Lineage: Eukaryota; Viridiplantae; Streptophyta; Magnoliopsida; Poales; Poaceae
Description: partial small subunit ribosomal RNA
Source: RNAcentral